GACGAACGCUGGCGGCGUGCUUAACACAUGCAAGUCGAACGGAAAGGCCCUGCUUUUGUGGGGUGCUCGAGUGGCGAACGGGUGAGUAACACGUGAGUAACCUGCCCUUGACUUUGGGAUAACUUCAGGAAACUGGGGCUAUUACCGGAUAGGAGCUCUUGCUCCAGGGGGGGGGUGGGAAAGUUUCGGCGGUUGGGGAUGGACUCGCGGCUUAUCAGCUUGUUGGUGGGGUAGUGGCUUACCAAGGCUUUGACGGGUAGCCGGCCUGAGAGGGUGACCGGCCACAUUGGGACUGAGAUACGGCCCAGACUCCUACGGGAGGCAGCAGUGGGGAAUAUUGCACAAUGGGCGGAAGCCUGAUGCAGCAACGCCGCGUGCGGGAUGACGGCCUUCGGGUUGUAAACCGCUUUCGCCUGUGACGAAGCGUGAGUGACGGUAAUGGGUAAAGAAGCACCGGCUAACUACGUG
RNAcentral lists this ribosomal RNA (468 nucleotides) under uncultured bacterium. RNAcentral describes it as "partial 16S ribosomal RNA". It matches the Rfam family "Bacterial small subunit ribosomal RNA", at positions 28 to 507 of the family's 1533-position model. The record is from RNAcentral.